CAGGUAAAAGGAAAAUCAGCUGGAACUUCAAUCAACCAAUGUUACCAUAAACAAAAGAAGAACUUACAUAUUUGGGGUUAAUAUGUGAAGAACUCAUAGGUUUUAUGACCAACAAUAUAUUGCAAUCCAAGGGAAAAAAUGGAAGCAUUAUGAGCCAUUUUCAAAGGCUGUCUCACAAAAUGCAUGCUGUAAUUACUGGACUGAAGAGAACGAUUCCUUCCUGAUAUGACAAGGUUCCUGAUUACAGGAGAUGAUUCCAAAAGUGAAUUUUCCACACUGAAUGGUGAGUUCCAAUUACUACAUGUAUUUCCCACAUAAUUAAAUGAAGCUACUUUUUAGCUGUCUACCUUCAUUUUCUGGAAAACAAAUCUAAGUAUGAAACCACCCCCACCCCCGCCAAAAAAAUAAAAACAAACACUUCUAAUUGAAGUGAAAAUUAAAAAUAGGGGCACCUGGGUGGUUCAGUCGGUUGAGUAUUCGACUUGUGAAUUCAGGUCAGGUCAUGAUCCCAGGGUUGUGGGAUCGAGCCCCAUGUCAGGCUCUGCACUGAGCAUGGAGCCUGCUUAAGAUUCUCUCUCUCCCUCUCUUUCUCUCUCCCCCUCACUCUCUC
This is a long non-coding RNA of Neofelis nebulosa (Clouded leopard), 610 nucleotides long. RefSeq lists it as uncharacterized. The transcript has 3 exons. The record is from RefSeq and is a predicted model, not a curated record. Lineage: Eukaryota; Metazoa; Chordata; Mammalia; Carnivora; Felidae.